GGAUUGUGGCUCAGCGGUAGAGUCCUUGCCUAGCAUGUGUGAGGCCCUGGGUUCAAUCCUCAGCACCA
This 68-nucleotide transfer RNA is filed under the name Marmota monax (woodchuck). Its description in RNAcentral is "tRNA.Ala". The record is from RNAcentral. Lineage: Eukaryota; Metazoa; Chordata; Mammalia; Rodentia; Sciuridae.